This 552-nucleotide ribosomal RNA is filed under the name Cnidoglanis macrocephalus (estuary catfish). RNAcentral describes it as "partial 16S ribosomal RNA". It matches the Rfam family "Bacterial large subunit ribosomal RNA", at positions 1852 to 2607 of the family's 2925-position model. The record is from RNAcentral. Lineage: Eukaryota; Metazoa; Chordata; Actinopteri; Siluriformes; Plotosidae.
GUCUUGCCUGCCCAGUGAUAAAUUAAACGGCCGCGGUAUUCUGACCGUGCGAAGGUAGCGCAAUCACUUGUCCUUUAAAUGAGGACCCGUAUGAAUGGUGAAACGAGGGCUUAACUGUCUCCCCCUUUAUGUCAAUGAAAUUGAUCUAUCCGUGCAGAAGCGGAUAUAAUACUACAAGACGAGAAGACCCUUUGGAGCUUAAGAUAAAAGACUAAUUAUGUUAAGAGCCUGCUAAACCUGACUAAACUAUAUAAAAACUAGUCCACAAUCUUCGGUUGGGGCGACCACGGGAGAAAAUAAAGCUCCCACGCGGACUGGGCACAAACCUAAAACCAAGAAAGACAUUUCUAAGUCUCAGAACAUCUGACCAAAUUUGAUCCGGACUAACCUCCGAUCAACGAACCAAGUUACCCAAGGGAUAACAGCGCAAUCCCCUUUAAGAGUUCAUAUCGACAAGGGGGUUUACGACCUCGAUGUUGGAUCAGGACAUCCUAAUGGUGCAGCCGCUAUUAAGGGUUCGUUUGUUCAACGAUUAAAGUCCUACGUGAUCUG